GUCCUAGCCGUAAACGGUGCACGUUUGCUGUAAAAGGAAUCGACCCCUUUUGUGGCGUAGCCAACGCGUUAAACGUGCCGCCUGGGGAAGUACGGUCGCAAGAUUAAAACUCAAAGAAAUUGACGGGGGCAUGCACAAGCGGUGGAGUAUGUGGCUCAAUUCGAUGCAACGCGAAGAACCUUACCUGGCCUUGACAUGCAAGUAGUAGAAGGGUGAAAGCCUGACGAGGUAGCAAUACCAGCUUGCACAGGUGCUGCAUGGCUGUCGU
Molecule: ribosomal RNA, 268 nt
Filed under: uncultured bacterium
Lineage: Bacteria
Description: partial 16S ribosomal RNA
Rfam family: Bacterial small subunit ribosomal RNA
Source: RNAcentral